This 439-nucleotide ribosomal RNA is filed under the name uncultured bacterium. Its description in RNAcentral is "partial 16S ribosomal RNA". It matches the Rfam family "Bacterial small subunit ribosomal RNA", at positions 339 to 795 of the family's 1533-position model. The record is from RNAcentral.
CUACGGGACGCUGCAGUGAGGAAUAUUGCACAAUGGAGGAAACUCUGAUGCAGCAACGCCGCGUGGAGGAUGACGCAUUUCGGUGUGUAAACUCCUUUUAUAUGUCAAGAAAAUGACGGUAGCAUAUGAAUAAGCUCCGGCUAACUCCGUGCCAGCAGCCGCGGUAAUACGGAGGGAGCAAGCGUUACUCGGAAUCACUGGGCGUAAAGGACGCGUAGGCGGGAUAGAAAGUCAGGUGUGAAAUCCUAUGGCUCAACCAUAGAACUGCACUUGAAACUUCUAACCUAGAGUAUGGGAGGGGAAGAUGGAAUUAGUGGUGUAGGGGUAAAAUCCGUAGAUAUCACUAGGAAUACCAAAAGCGAAGGCGAUCUUCUGGAACAAUACUGACGCUAAGGCGUGAAAGCGUGGGGAGCAAACAGGAUUAGAUACCCCGGUAGUC